GUGGCCUACGGGAGGCAGCAGUAGGGAAUCUUCCACAAUGGGCGCAAGCCUGAUGGAGCAACACCGCGUGAGUGAAGAAGGGUUUCGGCUCGUAAAGCUCUGUUGUUGGAGAAGAACGUGCGUGAGAGUAACUGUUCACGCAGUGACGGGAUCCAACCAGAAAGUCACGGCUAGCUACGUGCCAGCAGCCGCGGGAAUACGUAGGGAGCGAGCGUUGUCCGGAUUUACUGGGUGUAAAGGGCGUGCAGCCGGGAGUACAAGUCAGAUGUGAAAUCCCGCGG
This 281-nucleotide ribosomal RNA is filed under the name uncultured bacterium. Its description in RNAcentral is "partial 16S ribosomal RNA". It matches the Rfam family "Bacterial small subunit ribosomal RNA", at positions 334 to 607 of the family's 1533-position model. The record is from RNAcentral.